This 253-nucleotide ribosomal RNA is filed under the name uncultured bacterium. RNAcentral describes it as "partial 16S ribosomal RNA". It matches the Rfam family "Bacterial small subunit ribosomal RNA", at positions 524 to 776 of the family's 1533-position model. The record is from RNAcentral.
GACGUAGGAUGCGAGCGUUGUCCGGAUUUAUUGGGCGUAAAGAGUUCGUAGGUGGUUCGUUAAGUCUGGUGUAAAAGACUGGGGCUCAACCCUGGGAUCGCACUGGAUACUGGCGGACUGGAGUGUAGUAGAGGCAAGCGGAAUUCCCAGUGUAGCGGUGAAAUGCGUAGAUAUUGGGAAGAACACCGGUGGCGCAAGCGGCUUGCUGGGCUAUAACUGACACUGAGGAACGAAAGCUAGGGGAGCGAAUGGG